AGUGAACGCUGGCGGCGUGCUUAACACAUGCAAGUCGAGGGGAAACGACGUUGAACGCUUGCUUUUGAUGGGCGUCGACCGGCGCACGGGUGAGUAACGCGUAUCCAACCUGCCCACCACUUGGGGACAACCUUGCGAAAGUAAGACUAAUACCCAAUGACGUCUCUAGCAGACAUCUGAAAGAGAUUAAAGAUUUAUCGGUGAUGGCUGGGGAUGCGUCUGAUUAGCUUGUUGGCGGGGUAACGGCCCACCAAGGCGACGAUCAGUAGGGGUUCUGAGAGGAAGGUCCCCCACAUUGGAACUGAGACACGGUCCAAACUCCUACGGGAGGCAGGAGGGAGGAAUGUUGGUCAAUGGACGAGAGUCUGAACCAGCCAAGUAGCGUGCAGGAUGACGGCCCUAUGGGUUGUAAACUGCUUUUGUAAGGGAAUAAAGUGAGAGUCGUGACUCUUUUUGCAUGUACCUUAUGAAUAAGGACCGGCUAAUUCCGUGCCAGCCGCCGCAGUAA
Molecule: ribosomal RNA, 508 nt
Filed under: uncultured bacterium
Lineage: Bacteria
Description: partial 16S ribosomal RNA
Rfam family: Bacterial small subunit ribosomal RNA
Source: RNAcentral